UACAGAGGGGCAAGCGUUAUUCGGAAUUAUUGGGCGUAAAGGGCGCGUAGGCGGCUUGGCAAGUGGAAGGUGAAAUACCCCUCGGCUUAACCGAGGAACUGCCUUCCAGACUGCUUUGCUUGAGGCCGGAGAGGCGAGUGGAAUUCCAGUGUAGCGGUGAAAUGCGUAGAUAUUGGGAGGAACACCAGUGGCGAAGGCGGCUCGCUGGACCGGUUCUGACGCUGAGGCGCGAAAGCGUGGGAGCAACGGG
RNAcentral lists this ribosomal RNA (250 nucleotides) under uncultured bacterium. RNAcentral's name for it is "partial 16S ribosomal RNA". It matches the Rfam family "Bacterial small subunit ribosomal RNA", at positions 524 to 776 of the family's 1533-position model. The record is from RNAcentral.